Molecule: non-coding RNA, 353 nt
Organism: Pelobates cultripes (western spadefoot toad)
Lineage: Eukaryota; Metazoa; Chordata; Amphibia; Anura; Pelobatidae
Source: the annotation of a GenBank genome assembly
CCCAAAUAAAGCUUUUAGUAUAAAGACAAUUGAGGUGCACUAUUAGAUGCUUGUCCUUAAUAGUGGGGUCUGAACAGACAUGCUUAAUUAGACGUCCUCAAAUCGUACCACUCAACGCUGAUUGCCAUAAGUCUGUACCUCCUUCCCCAUGUAACCUCACUAAAAAGAGUAACCCUCUCAUAAAAACAAAGGUCACAUACCCCUCUAAUUAUUGAUCUAGGAUACUAUUGUAUAUAAAAUUGCCAAAAUAAUGUCAGGGAUGUUCAAUAGAAGAACUAUGGGAACAUUAUUUAAUUGUAUCGACCACUCAGUUAAAAAAAAAGCUAUGUUUUUAUGUCAUCUUGAAGGUAGGU